RNAcentral lists this ribosomal RNA (193 nucleotides) under uncultured prokaryote. Its description in RNAcentral is "partial 16S ribosomal RNA". It matches the Rfam family "Bacterial small subunit ribosomal RNA", at positions 525 to 717 of the family's 1533-position model. The record is from RNAcentral.
ACGGGGGGGGCAAGCGUUGUUCGGAAUUACUGGGCGUAAAGGGCGCGUAGGCGGCCUACUAAGUCGGACGUGAAAUCCCUCGGCUCAACCGAGGAACUGCGUCCGAUACUGGCAGGCUGGAAUCCGGGAGAGGGAUGUGGAAUUCCAGGUGUAGCGGUGAAAUGCGUAGAUAUCAGGAGGAACACCGGCGGUG